This 1242-nucleotide long non-coding RNA is filed under the name Coturnix japonica (Japanese quail). Its description in RNAcentral is "lncRNA (ENSCJPG00005003395.1)". The record is from RNAcentral. Lineage: Eukaryota; Metazoa; Chordata; Aves; Galliformes; Phasianidae.
GCUUUUCAUCUUCAGAAUGUCUUACAAAGGUUAAACCUUUAAAAUACAUCUGUGAAAUGAAGCGUUAUAUUACUACCUUUGUUUUUUUUUCCCCUCAGUUUAAGUAGAUGUUGAAUGUUUAAAUGUCCAGAGCUGCAGAGAAGAUUGGUCAGAUUUAGAACUGAAGACUGUGAGCUUGUCCUGCACUGCCUGAACUUCUCAGAUAGCAUUGGAUGUUCUUCACUAAUUUAUAGUCCAACAUCCAAUGGACACGUCCUUCUUUUCCCCGUGCAGAUGCUGCUGUCUAAAUAGCCUUUGGGGGAAAUUUCCUUUGUGGAUGCAGACAUGGCAGUGGAAAUAGCAGGAGCCUGCUGAAGGUAAUGUUUACAUUUUUCUUCUAGAGAAGACAAAUAAAUACCCUGUAGACCUAAUAUAAAAGGUCUUGGGAUGCAUUUUUAUUACCUUUUACUGAUUUGGAUUGCUAUUUGGUACGUUAUUUUUUGAAAACAAAUGGCUUCGGAUAGUCUAGACAUGGAAAUAUUUUUCCAUCACUCUUUGAUCUGUUUUUCAGCAAUGCUGGGUUGGUUUUGGAGCAAAUGGGGAAAGCUGUUGCCAAGGAGGAAUAGGGAGAAGUACUUGAUCAGAAUUCAGACAGUGGAAACUCUCCUUCGGCCAAAGCAGUUUUUCACCAAUUUCCUCAAAGCUGCAAGGAUGUACCAGAAAGAUCCAUCACCACAACACAUAUAGUUUGGGCUGAAGUUGUUUGGCAUAUUUUGAUGGAAAUGAAGAAAAACUGUCACCCUAACCCUGGGAACUGAAUACUGAUAGGCAAACUGGGUCAUGCUACUUGCAGCUCAUCUCUAGCUGCAGCCAACAGAUGAGGCCAACUUUGGGACAGCAAAGUGCUGGAAAGCACUUCAGGCUUCAUCUCAAAGGAUUUAGAGGAAGGAGAAAAGAAAGCUCAAAAAACAAACAAUAUAAUGUCAUAUCAUCAUUUCUUGUCAUAGGAAAAAGAACACUUAUCUCUUGCUCUUGGAAAUCUUUCAUUUGGGAGAAAAGAGGAGCUAGGCUUACUAACGGCACAUCACAAACAAGAUGCAGCUGUCAUUUAAUUUUAAAAGCUUGAAAUUAUUCCCAAAUAGUGUUUAAAAUAGAUUAUUUAUAAUGAAAUGAAAGUCAUUAUUCUAUUCCUUCAAGACUGACAAAAAUUUGCAGUCCAAACCUCCCACAAGUCUACAUCAAUAAACUCACAGAGACCAAACA